Molecule: long non-coding RNA, 163 nt
Organism: Bufo bufo (common toad)
Lineage: Eukaryota; Metazoa; Chordata; Amphibia; Anura; Bufonidae
Exons: 2
Source: RefSeq, a predicted model, not a curated record
AAGACAUCCAGCGGGAGAGGGUUCCAUUCAAGCAAGAUAGAAAAGGAGAAAAUAUAAAAAAUUGGAUACUUGGUGUUAUGAAUCAACCAGCAGCAACAGCAGAACAAUUGCAAUAAAGAAAUGACAUAAAAAACUGCUGAAAAACCACAUAUAUGAACAUGCC